RNAcentral lists this ribosomal RNA (717 nucleotides) under uncultured Candidatus Pelagibacter sp. Its description in RNAcentral is "bacterial SSU rRNA". It matches the Rfam family "Bacterial small subunit ribosomal RNA", at positions 56 to 818 of the family's 1533-position model. Lineage: Bacteria; Pseudomonadati; Pseudomonadota; Alphaproteobacteria; Candidatus Pelagibacterales; Candidatus Pelagibacteraceae. The record is from RNAcentral.
UGCAGUCGAACGAAGUAGCAAUACUUAGUGGCAGACGGGUGAGUAACAUGUAGGUAUCUGCCCUUUGGCCUGGAAUAACACGAGGAAACUUGUGCUAAUACUGGAUAAGUCUUUACGGAGAAAGCUUUACGCACCAUUGGAUGAGCCUGCACUUGAUUAGUUUGUUGGUGGGGUAAUGGCCUACCAAGACUGUGAUCAAUAGCUGAUUUGAGAGGAUGAUCAGCCACAUUGGGACUGAGACACGGCCCAAACUCCUACGGGAGGCAGCAGUGGGGAAUCUUGCACAAUGGAGGAAACUCUGAUGCAGCGAUGCCGCGUGAGUGAAGAAGGCCUUUGGGUUGUAAAGCUCUUUCGUCGGGGAAGAAAAUGACUGUACCCGAAUAAGAAGGUCCGGCUAACUUCGUGCCAGCAGCCGCGGUAACACGUAGGGAGCAAGCGUUGUCCGGAUUUAUUGGGCGUAAAGAGCUCGUAGGCGGUUCGGUAAGUCGGGUGUGAAAACUUGAGGCUCAACCUCAAGAGGCCACUCGAUACUGCUGUGACUGGAGUCCGGUAGAGGAGUGUGGAAUUCCUGGUGUAGCGGUGAAAUGCGCAGAUAUCAGGAGGAACACCGACAGCGAAGGCAGCACUCUGGGCCGGUACUGACGCUGAGGAGCGAAAGCAUGGGGAGCGAACAGGAUUAGAUACCCUGGUAGUCCAUGCCGUAAACGUUGGGCACUA